RNAcentral lists this ribosomal RNA (723 nucleotides) under uncultured Neisseriales bacterium. Its description in RNAcentral is "bacterial SSU rRNA". It matches the Rfam family "Bacterial small subunit ribosomal RNA", at positions 63 to 773 of the family's 1533-position model. The record is from RNAcentral. Lineage: Bacteria; Pseudomonadati; Pseudomonadota; Betaproteobacteria; Neisseriales.
CGAACGGCAGCGAGGAGAAGCUUGCUUCUCUGUCGGCGAGUGGCGAACGGGUGAGUAUAGCAUCGGAACGUGCCAAGUAGUGGGGGAUAACCAAACGAAAGUUUGGCUAAUACCGCGUAAGCUCCAAGGAGGAAAGUAGGGGACCUAAUAAGGCCUUACGCUAUUUGAUCGGCCGAUGUCGGAUUAGCUAGUUGGUGGGGUAAUGGCUCACCAAGGCAAUGAUCCGUAGCGGGUCUGAGAGGACGAUCCGCCACACUGGGACUGAGACACGGCCCAGACUCCUACGGGAGGCAGCAGUGGGGAAUUUUGGACAAUGGGGGAAACCCUGAUCCAGCCAUGCCGCGUGUAUGAAGAAGGCCUUAGGGUUGUAAAGUACUUUUGUUAGGGAAGAAAAGCUAGUUUUUAAUAUAAAUUAGUGAUGACGGUACCUAAAGAAUAAGCACCGGCUAACUACGUGCCAGCAGCCGCGGUAAUACGUAGGGUGCAAGCGUUAAUCGGAAUUAUUGGGCGUAAAGCGAGUGCAGACGGUUACUUAAGCCAGAUGUGAAAUCCCCAAGCUUAACUUGGGACGUGCAUUUGGAACUGGGUGACUAGAGUGUGUCAGAGGGAGGUAGAAUUCCACAUGUAGCGGUGGAAUGCGUAGAGAUGUGGAGGAAUACCGAUGGCGAAGGCAGCCUCCUGGGAUAACACUGACGUUGAGGCUCGAAAGCGUGGGGAGCAAAC